AUGGCAUAUUCUGGGCACUUUACCUCAACAUUGAUUGUUGGUUUUCUGACUGGUUGUGUCUGUUUUCUGUUCACAUCUCAUGAAAAUUAUAUAUCAAUCUAACUGGGGGGGAGAUCGAGAUGACCGGAGACACGACCAAACCAAGACCAGAUGCAAUCAGGUUUUAAUGAUAAAGAUACUGAGGAACCUCUGAGCUCCGGCGUCUCCCGCCGGGCACGAACUGAUGAGCCAUGAAUAAGGAAAACAGCUCACGGGGGGCGGGGAGUUGUUUAAGCUGCAGUGCAGAGAUAGUGCACGUAAUUACAGAACUGCCACGUGAUAUUAUUCUAAAACUGUUCCAAAUAUUUUAUUCACUGGUUAAUUACACUCCAAACAUGGUUGCCUCUUGGUAUUAAUUCAUACACAUAAAGCAUAAGACUCACUCAUUAAAUUCCUGCUGCAGGGCAACAAUAGAAAGAUUAAUUCAGGGUCUUUUGUUGCACUUUUUCCCCCAGAUUCCUUCUGCAAAGACAAAAGCUGCUCAAAUUAAAACAGAUACUGGAACAUAAUGGAUUAAAAACUGGAGCCUUUGCUGCCUGAAAUUUGACUUAAAUUAUAAGCAUCAGUGGGAACUGUUGUUGUGAGUCAUUAUUGGCUGCUGUUUUAUUAGUACAAAAGUGCAGAUCCAGUUUAGUUGAGCUCCAUUUUGCCAAAGUCACCUAGUAGUAAUGUGCAGAGAGAUGGAACGUAAUGGACCAACAUUAAUACGACUAACAUUAAUGAAGUGUCCUUUGUGUGAAAUUGCUCUGACUGUUUUCCUGUUUUAUUGCUGACUGAACUUUAGAGAGAAUGAAUGUCCUGCCUCUGCUGCUGAUGGGAUUCACUGUCUGUGAAGAGACUACUCAGUAUUUUGGUAUCAGGAAUAUGAUUUGACAUUUUAGAUUUGUUUCCGGUGAGAAAUUGAUUUUAUAUAGUUACUUUGCUGUUGCUGCUCUAUAUAUAUAUAAAAAAUUAAAAAUGUUAGUCUGACAGCUAACCAAAUACACCCUUUAAAAAAAGAGGUAAGAAAUUAAUCAGAGAUAAGACAAGAAUAAUACCCAAGUGCUUUAUAGCUUACAUGAGUUAGUGAACUUUUGGUGAAAUACUACUUCAACAUUCAGUGUGUAAUAUUUAGGGGAAUCUGUUGACAGAAAUGUAAUAACUUCCAUAACUAUGUUUUCAGCCUUACAUAAUUAUGAGCCAUUUUUAUCUACUACUACAUCCUUAAAUAUAAUAACGGUGGUAGUAGUAGUCUAUUUAGUUUAUUAGAAGUUGUAUUAUUAUUAUUAUUAUUAUUAGUAUAAUAAUUAUUUUAUUUUUAUUAGAAGUUUAUUAUCUAGUUUAUUAGAAACAAGAAAAGAGAAAUUUGGACAACUGGAGGAUCACACGUAUUAUUUAGCCCAAGAGUCGACAGAUCGUGUCGGCUACCGUAGCUUCUCAUGCGCUUGGAAAGGGAGAGGUGACUGGUGACUUAUGAUUCAUGUGGUGUCAGAAUCACUUUUGCUUCUUAAAUCUUUAUAGCAAAAAGAGGAAUUUAAUAUACAUAUUUACAUUACAUAUUUUGCAAAUGUGUAAUUUGCUGUAUGGUUAUAACUGUGAGUUUGCUUUCCACGUAGAGUGAACUAGAUGUCUUGGUGUUUAAAUGCUCCGAUAAUCUAACAAAUCUUUGAAGCGUCCAUGUUGAUUCCACAUUCCAACUGGAGAGCACAUGAACAUGCACUGAAGUCGGAAAAACAACUUCACAACUUGGGAAAUGGGACCAUCAGAGGAGCGUGUGAAUGCACCGUGAGCCACUGGUUGCAAUUCACAACCCUCACCACUAGAUGUCACUAAAACUUACACACUAUACUGUUUGUUUUGUAUUACAUUCAUACUAUAUUCACAUAUACAUAUAUUUUAUAUUCAUCGUCACUUUUCUUAGGAGUAUCAAUAAACUGAGUCAAAAUUGCUUUUGCAUGGACAGUGUUAGAGCACAAAGUUUAUUUGUUUUAUUUUGGGGGGCUUUUAUUGUGCUGCUGUCACAUUUAAUUUCUGACCUUGGAGUCAAUAAAGUCUUGCUUCAUUA
Molecule: long non-coding RNA, 2083 nt
Organism: Micropterus salmoides (largemouth bass)
Lineage: Eukaryota; Metazoa; Chordata; Actinopteri; Centrarchiformes; Centrarchidae
Exons: 2
Source: RefSeq, a predicted model, not a curated record